AUUGAACGCUGGCGGCAUGCCUUACACAUGCAAGUCGAACGGCAGCACGGGAGCAAUCCUGGUGGCGAGUGGCGAACGGGUGAGUAAAGUAUCGGAGCGUGCCCAGUCGUGGGGGAUAACGUAGCGAAAGUUACGCUAAUACCGCAUACGAUCUAUGGAUGAAAGCGGGGGAUCGCAAGACCUCGCGCGAUUGGAGCGGCCGAUAUCAGAUUAGGUAGUUGGUGGGGUAAAGGCUCACCAAGCCGACGAUCUGUAGCUGGUCUGAGAGGACGACCAGCCAGACUGGGACUGAGACACGGCCCAGACUCCUACGGGAGGCAGCAGUGGGGAAUUUUGGACAAUGGGCGAAAGCCUGAUCCAGCCAUGCCGCGUGCAGGAUGAAGGCCUUCGGGUUGUAAACUGCUUUUGUACGGAACGAAAAGGUUUGGGCUAACAAGCUGAGCUCAUGACGGUACCGUAAGAAUAAGCACCGGCUAACUACGUGCCAGCCGCCGCAGUAA
RNAcentral lists this ribosomal RNA (500 nucleotides) under uncultured bacterium. Its description in RNAcentral is "partial 16S ribosomal RNA". It matches the Rfam family "Bacterial small subunit ribosomal RNA", at positions 30 to 523 of the family's 1533-position model. The record is from RNAcentral.